GACGAACGCUGGCGGCGUGCUUAACACAUGCAAGUCGAACGAUGAAGAAAAGAAUCGAAGCUUCGGCAGAAAUUCAUUUCGGAUUAGUGGCAGACGGGUGAGUAACGCGUGAGCAACCUACCUCUUACAAAGGGAUAGCCUCGGGAAACCGGGAUUAAUACCAUAUAACAUUGCGACGAAGCAUUUCGAUGCAAUCAAAGCUACGGCGGUAAGAGAUGGGCUCGCGUCCCAUUAAUCGGAUGGUGAGGUAACGGCUCACCAUAGUGACGAUGGGUAACCGGGAUGAGAGAGAGGGCCGUCACACUGGAGCUGAGACGCGGUCCGGACUCCUACGGGAGGCAGGAGAGGGGAAUAUUGCACAGUGGAGGGAGCGCUGAUGCAGCGACGACGCGUGAGUGAUGAAAGAAUUCGUGACGUAAAGCUCUGUUAUAUGGGAAGAAAAGGACUGUACCAUAGGAGAAAGCUCCGGCUAAAUACGUG
Molecule: ribosomal RNA, 480 nt
Filed under: uncultured bacterium
Lineage: Bacteria
Description: partial 16S ribosomal RNA
Rfam family: Bacterial small subunit ribosomal RNA
Source: RNAcentral